RNAcentral lists this ribosomal RNA (429 nucleotides) under uncultured bacterium. RNAcentral describes it as "bacterial SSU rRNA". It matches the Rfam family "Bacterial small subunit ribosomal RNA", at positions 355 to 775 of the family's 1533-position model. The record is from RNAcentral.
UGGGGAAUAUUGCGCAAUGGGGGAAACCCUGACGCAGCGACGCCGUGUGAGGGAAGAAGGCUUUCGGGUCGUAAACCUCUGUCGGGAGGGAAGAACCUUCCAGGUCUGAACAAGGCUUGGAACUGACGGUACCUCCAAAGGAAGCACCGGCUAACUCCGUGCCAGCAGCCGCGGUAAUACGGAGGGUGCAAGCGUUAAUCGGAAUCACUGGGCGUAAAGCGCGCGUAGGCGGCUUUUUAAGUCGGACGUGAAAGCCCUCGGCUCAACCGGGGAACUGCGUUCGAAACUGGGAAGCUUGAGUCCUGGAGAGGGUGGCGGAAUUCCGGGUGUAGGAGUGAAAUCCGUAGAUAUCCGGAGGAACACCGGUGGCGAAGGCGGCCACCUGGACAGGUACUGACGCUGAGGCGCGAAAGCGUGGGGAGCAAACAG